CGCAAACGCAGUAAGCAUUCCACCUGGGGAGUACGUUUGCUAGAAUGAAACUCAAAGGAAGUGACGGGGACCCGCACAAGCGGUGGAGCAUGUGGUUUAAUUGGAAGCAAUGUGAAGAACCUUGGCGAGUCUUGACAUCGCAUCGAAUGCCUGGCAAAGCAGGCAGUCCUCCGCGUCAUUGGAGACAGGUGGCGCAGGGUCGUUGUCAGCUUGUGUGGUGGGAUUUUCGGGCAAGUUCCGCAUCGUGGGCAACCCGUAUCCCCAGUAGCCAGCAUGUAGAGGCGGGCGCUGAGUGGUGUUUUCCCGCGGCAACUUGGCGGAAGGUGGCGAGGGGGUCAAAUCAUCAUUCCCGUUUUGGCAUGGGUUUCACACGGGUUUCAAUCGCCGGCACAACGGGCAUGCCAGUGCGCGAGCAGGAGCAAAUCCCUUAAAGCCGGCCCCAGUUCGGAUCGGAGGCUGCAACCCGCCUCCGUGAAGUCGGAGUUGCUAGUAAUCGCGGAUCAGCACGCCGCGGUGAAUGCGUUCCCGGGCCUUGCACUCACCGCCCGUCA
This 551-nucleotide ribosomal RNA is filed under the name uncultured bacterium. Its description in RNAcentral is "bacterial SSU rRNA". It matches the Rfam family "Bacterial small subunit ribosomal RNA", at positions 848 to 1399 of the family's 1533-position model. The record is from RNAcentral.